Molecule: ribosomal RNA, 1394 nt
Filed under: uncultured Burkholderia sp.
Lineage: Bacteria; Pseudomonadati; Pseudomonadota; Betaproteobacteria; Burkholderiales; Burkholderiaceae
Description: bacterial SSU rRNA
Rfam family: Bacterial small subunit ribosomal RNA
Source: RNAcentral
GUUUGAUCCUGGCUCAGAUUGAACGCUGGCGGCAUGCCUUACACAUGCAAGUCGAACGGCAGCACGGGGGCAACCCUGGUGGCGAGUGGCGAACGGGUGAGUAAUACAUCGGAACGUGUCCUGUAGUGGGGGAUAGCCCGGCGAAAGCCGGAUUAAUACCGCAUACGCUCUACGGAGGAAAGGGGGGGAUCUUAGGACCUCCCGCUACAGGGGCGGCCGAUGGCAGAUUAGCUAGUUGGUGGGGUAAAGGCCUACCAAGGCGACGAUCUGUAGCUGGUCUGAGAGGACGACCAGCCACACUGGGACUGAGACACGGCCCAGACUCUACGGAGGCAGCAGUGGGGAAUUUUGGACAAUGGGGGCAACCCUGAUCCAGCAAUGCCGCGUGUGUGAAGAGGCCUUCGGGUUGUAAAGCACUUUUGUCCGGAAAGAAAACGCCGUGGUUAAUACCCGUGGCGGAUGACGGUACCGAAGAAUAAGCACCGGCUAACUACGUGCCAGCAGCCGCGGUAAUACGUAGGGUGCAAGCGUUAAUCGGAAUUACUGGGCGUAAAGCGUGCGCAGGCGGUCCGCUAAGACAGAUGUGAAAUCCCCGGGCUUAACCUGGGAACUGCAUUUGUGACUGGCGGGCUAGAGUAUGGCAGAGGGGGGUAGAAUUCCACGUGUAGCAGUGAAAUGCGUAGAGAUGUGGAGGAAUACCGAUGGCGAAGGCAGCCCCCUGGGCCAAUACUGACGCUCAUGCACGAAAGCGUGGGGAGCAAGCAGGAUUAGAUACCCUGGUAGUCCACGCCCUAAACGAUGUCAACUAGUUGUCGGGUCUUCAUUGACUUGGUAACGUAGCUAACGCGUGAAGUUGACCGCCUGGGGAGUACGGUCGCAAGAUUAAAACUCAAAGGAAUUGACGGGGACCCGCACAAGCGGUGGAUGAUGUGGAUUAAUUCGAUGCAACGCGAAAAACCUUACCUACCCUUGACAUGUAUGGAAUCCUGCUGAGAGGUGGGAGUGCCCGAAAGGGAGCCAUAACACAGGUGCUGCAUGGCUGUCGUCAGCUCGUGUCGUGAGAAUGUUGGGUAAGUCCCGCAACGAGCGCAACCCUUGUCCCUAGUUGCUACGCAAGAGCACUCUAGGGAGACUGCCGGUGACAAACCGGAGAAGGUGGGGAUGACGUCAAGUCUCAUGGCCUUAUGGGUUAGGGCUUCACACGUCAUACAAUGGUCGGAACAGAGGGUCGCCAACCCGCGAGGGGGAGCCAAUCCCAGAAAACCGAUCGUAGUCCGGAUCGCACUCUGCAACUCGAGUGCGUGAAGCUGGAAUCGCUAGUAAUCGCGGAUCAGCAUGCCGCGGUGAAUACGUUCCCGGGUCUUGUACACACCGCCCGUCACACCAUGGGAGUG